This is a non-coding RNA of Dipodomys ordii (Ord's kangaroo rat), 70 nucleotides long. The record is from Rfam. NCBI's taxonomy places the organism in Eukaryota, Metazoa, Chordata, Mammalia, Rodentia, Heteromyidae.
GGGAAUGUGGCUUAGUGGUAAAGUGCUUGCCUAGAACGCAUGAUGCCCUGGGUUCAAUACCUCAGUACCA